This 1346-nucleotide ribosomal RNA is filed under the name uncultured bacterium. RNAcentral describes it as "bacterial SSU rRNA". It matches the Rfam family "Bacterial small subunit ribosomal RNA", at positions 28 to 1381 of the family's 1533-position model. The record is from RNAcentral.
GACGAACGCUGGCGGCGUGCUUAACACAUGCAAGUCGAACGGAAAGGCCCUGCUUUUGUGGGGUGCUCGAGUGGCGAACGGGUGAGUAACACGUGAGUAACCUGCCCUUGACUUUGGGAUAACUUCAGGAAACUGGGGCUAAUACCGGAUAGGAGCUCCUGCUGCAUGGUGGGGGUUGGAAAGUUUCGGCGGUUGGGGAUGGACUCGCGGCUUAUCAGCUUGUUGGUGGGGUAGUGGCUUACCAAGGCUUUGACGGGUAGCCGGCCUGAGAGGGUGACCGGCCACAUUGGGACUGAGAUACGGCCCAGACUCCUACGGGAGGCAGCAGUGGGGAAUAUUGCACAAUGGGCGGAAGCCUGAUGCAGCAACGCCGCGUGCGGGAUGACGGCCUUCGGGUUGUAAACCGCUUUCGCCUGUGACGAAGCGUGAGUGACGGUAAUGGGUAAAGAAGCACCGGCUAACUACGUGCCAGCAGCCGCGGUGAUACGUAGGGUGCGAGCGUUGUCCGGAUUUAUUGGGCGUAAAGGGCUCGUAGGUGGUUGAUCGCGUCGGAAGUGUAAUCUUGGGGCUUAACCCUGAGCGUGCUUUCGAUACGGGUUGACUUGAGGAAGGUAGGGGAGAAUGGAAUUCCUGGUGGAGCGGUGGAAUGCGCAGAUAUCAGGAGGAACACCAGUGGCGAAGGCGGUUCUCUGGGCCUUUCCUGACGCUGAGGAGCGAAAGCGUGGGGAGCGAACAGGCUUAGAUACCCUGGUAGUCCACGCUGUAAACGGUGGGUACUAGGUGUGGGGUCCAUUCCACGGGUUCCGUGCCGUAGCUAACGCUUUAAGUACCCCGCCUGGGGAGUACGGCCGCAAGGCUAAAACUCAAAGGAAUUGACGGGGCCCCGCACAAGCGGCGGAGCAUGCGGAUUAAUUCGAUGCAACGCGUAAAACCUUACCUGGGUUUGACAUGGAUCGGGAGCGCUCAGAGAUGGGUGUGCCUCUUUUGGGGUCGGUUCACAGGUGGUGCAUGGCUGUCGUCAGCUCGUGUCGUGAGAUGUUGGGUUAAGUCCCGCAACGAGCGCAACCCUUGUUCACUGUUGCCAGCACGUUAUGGUGGGGACUCAGUGGAGACCGCCGGGGUCAACUCGGAGGAAGGUGGGGAUGACGUCAAGUCAUCAUGCCCCUUAUGUCCAGGGCUUCACGCAUGCUACAAUGGCUGGUACAGAGAGUGGCGAGCCUGUGAGGGUGAGCGAAUCUCGGAAAGCCGGUCUCAGUUCGGAUUGGGGUCUGCAACUCGACCUCAUGAAGUCGGAGUCGCUAGUAAUCGCAGAUCAGCAACGCUGCGGUGAAUACGUUCCCGGGGCU